This 467-nucleotide ribosomal RNA is filed under the name uncultured bacterium. RNAcentral's name for it is "partial 16S ribosomal RNA". It matches the Rfam family "Bacterial small subunit ribosomal RNA", at positions 28 to 507 of the family's 1533-position model. The record is from RNAcentral.
GACGAACGCUGGCGGCGUGCUUAACACAUGCAAGUCGAACGGAAAGGCCUCUUUCGGGGGGUACUCGAGUGGCGAACGGGUGAGUAACACGUGAGUAACCUGCCCUUGACUUUGGGAUAACUUCAGGAAACUGGGGCUAAUACCGGAUAGGAGCUCCUGCUGCAUGGUGGGGGUUGGAAAGUUUCGGCGGUUGGGGAUGGACUCGCGGCUUAUCAGCUUGUUGGUGGGGUAGUGGCUUACCAAGGCUUUGACGGGUAGCCGGCCUGAGAGGGUGAUCGGCCACAUUGGGACUGAGAUACGGCCCAGGCUCCUACGGGAGGCAGCAGUGGGGAAUAUUGCACAAUGGGUGGAAGCCUGAUGCAGCAACGCCGUGUGCGGGAUGACGGCCUUCGGGUUGUAAACCGCUUUCGCUCAUGACGAAGCUUUGUGUGACGGUAGUGGGUAAAGAAGCACCGGCUAACUACGUG